This 277-nucleotide ribosomal RNA is filed under the name uncultured Eubacteriales bacterium. RNAcentral's name for it is "uncultured Clostridiales bacterium partial 16S ribosomal RNA". It matches the Rfam family "Bacterial small subunit ribosomal RNA", at positions 505 to 782 of the family's 1533-position model. Lineage: Bacteria; Bacillati; Bacillota; Clostridia; Eubacteriales. The record is from RNAcentral.
GUGCCAGCAGCCGCGGUAAUACGUAAGGACCGAGCGUUGUCCGGAAUCAUUGGGCGUAAAGGGUACGUAGGCGGCUAGAAAAGUUAGAAGUCAAAGGCUAUAGCUCAACUAUAGUAAGCUUCUAAAACUAUUUAGCUUGAGAAAUGGAAGGGAAAGUGGAAUUCCUAGUGUAGCGGUGGAAUGCGCAGAUAUUAGGAAGAAUACCGGUGGCGAAGGCGACUUUCUGGCCAUUAUCUGACGCUGAGGUACGAAAGCGUGGGUAGCAAACAGGAUUAGA